This 497-nucleotide ribosomal RNA is filed under the name uncultured bacterium. RNAcentral describes it as "partial 16S ribosomal RNA". It matches the Rfam family "Bacterial small subunit ribosomal RNA", at positions 28 to 507 of the family's 1533-position model. The record is from RNAcentral.
GAUGAACGCUGGCGGCGUGCCUAAUACAUGCAAGUCGAGCGAACGGACGAGAAGCUUGCUUCUCUGAUGUUAGCGGCGGACGGGUGAGUAACACGUGGGUAACCUACCUAUAAGACUGGGAUAACUUCGGGAAACCGGAGCUAAUACCGGAUAAUAUUUUGAACCGCAUGGUUCAAAAGUGAAAGACGGUCUUGCUGUCACUUAUAGAUGGAUCCGCGCUGCAUUAGCUAGUUGGUAAGGUAACGGCUUACCAAGGCAACGAUGCAUAGCCGACCUGAGAGGGUGAUCGGCCACACUGGAACUGAGACACGGUCCAGACUCCUACGGGAGGCAGCAGUAGGGAAUCUUCCGCAAUGGGCGAAAGCCUGACGGAGCAACGCCGCGUGAGUGAUGAAGGUCUUCGGAUCGUAAAACUCUGUUAUUAGGGAAGAACAUAUGUGUAAGUAGCUGUGCACAUCUUGACGGUACCUAAUCAGAAAGCCACGGCUAACUACGUG